This 615-nucleotide long non-coding RNA is filed under the name Homo sapiens (human). RNAcentral's name for it is "non-protein coding lnc-CUL4A-1:1". The record is from RNAcentral. Lineage: Eukaryota; Metazoa; Chordata; Mammalia; Primates; Hominidae.
GAUCGAGACCAUCCUGGCUAACACAGUGAAACCCCGUCUGUACUGAAAAUACAAAAAAAAAAGCCCAACGUGGCGGCAGGCGUCUGUAGUCCCAGUUGCUGGGGAGGCUGAGGCAGGAGAAUGGCGUGAACCCGGGAGGCGGAGCUUACAGUGAGCUGAGAUCACGCCACUGCUCUCCAGCCUGGAUGACAGAGCAAAACUCCAUCUCAAAAAAAAAAAAAAACUGGAACCAUCUUGGAUAAAAUGUACGACAAAGUACUGAUGAGUUUAAUGUUAACAGAACUAGAAGUCAGCAAGAAGACCAGCAACAAGCCUUCGGAUAAGUGAGUUCUUCAUUAGCUUUAAGAGAGUGGGAGCAGAGGAAACGGGUACCGUGAGGGCAGACCUGCUUUCAAGAACAGAUGAACAGCGGCUGAGAAUGACUCCAAGAGGUCGCAGGAGCAGAGCUGCAUUUCAGUGGCAGCUUGAACCAAGAUCUAGAUGUCCAUUUGGAGUGAGUGUCAAGAAAUACCACGUAAGAAAAGAGAGCAGUGCCGUCCUGCCACCACUGUGUGUGCGGCCCGUGUACGUGUGAAUAACGACGGCUCAACUCCAGAAUGGAGUUCUGGAAGGCUG